This 31-nucleotide non-coding RNA is filed under the name Rattus norvegicus (Norway rat). The record is from RNAcentral. Lineage: Eukaryota; Metazoa; Chordata; Mammalia; Rodentia; Muridae.
UGCCAUGCGUAGACCAGGUGACUUCCAGGUU